CAAUAGCGUAUAUUUAAGUUGCUGCAGUUAAAAAGCUCGUAGUUGGAUUUCGGGUGGGAAUGGCCGGUCCGCCGUUUCGGUGUGCACUUGCUACGCCCACCUUGCUGCCGGGGACGUGCUCUUGAGUUCACGCUCGGGACACGGAGUCGGCGAGGUUACUUUGAGUAAAUUAGAGUGUUCAAAGCAGGCCUACGCUCUGAAUACAUUAGCAUGGAAUAACACGAUAGGACUCUGGCCUAUCUUGUUGGUCUGUAGGACCGGAGUAAUGAUUAAGAGGGACAAUCGGGGGCAUUCGUAUUUCAUUGUCAGAGGUGAAAUUCUUGGAUUUAUGAAAGACGAACUACUGCGAAAGCAUUUGCCAAGGAUGUUUUCAUUAA
This 377-nucleotide ribosomal RNA is filed under the name uncultured eukaryote. RNAcentral's name for it is "partial 18S ribosomal RNA". It matches the Rfam family "Eukaryotic small subunit ribosomal RNA", at positions 592 to 976 of the family's 1831-position model. The record is from RNAcentral.